RNAcentral lists this ribosomal RNA (405 nucleotides) under uncultured Bacillota bacterium. RNAcentral describes it as "uncultured Firmicutes bacterium partial 16S ribosomal RNA". It matches the Rfam family "Bacterial small subunit ribosomal RNA", at positions 355 to 774 of the family's 1533-position model. Lineage: Bacteria; Bacillati; Bacillota. The record is from RNAcentral.
UAGGGAAUAUUGGGCAAUGGAGGCAACUCUGACCCAGCGACGCCGCGUGAAUGAAGAAGGUUUUCGGAUUGUAAAGUUCUGUUCUAUGGGAAGAAUAAAAUGACGGUACCAUAGAAGAAAGCCCCGGCAAACUACGUGCCAGCAGCCGCGGUAAUACGUAGGGGGCAAGCGUUGUCCGGAAUGACUGGGCGUAAAGGGAGUGUAGGUGGCGUUUUAAGUUAAAUGUGAAAGCCUGGGGCUUAACCCCAGAAUUGCAUUUAAUACUGGAAUGCUUGAGUGCAGGAGAGGAAAGUGGAAUUCCAAGUGUAGCGGUAGAAUGCGUAGAUAUUUGGAGGAACAUCAGAGGCGAAGGCGACUUUCUGGACUGUGACUGACACUGAGACUCGAAAGCGUGGGGAGCAAACA